UGUGUGUGUGUGUGUGUGUGUGUGUGUGUGUGUGUUUAGUGUCAGUGCUGUGACAUACAUUAAGCCUAAUUAGUUUACACUGUCUCCAUCGCUGCAGCUGUAAGUGUUAAGGAUAUGCUAACAUGUUCUCUUUAACCUACUACAAGCACAGAGCUUCAUUCACCUCGUCCAUGGGUCGCCUGCUCAGUUGGGAUUGGUUAUAACAUUGAACUGUGUGCAGAUUAAACUUGGGUUCGGUAACAGCCUGCAGCGUUUGCUUGUGUUUUCAUUACAUUGAUCGCUCCGUCGAAUCGUUGAACAUAUUGGGCCGCUGUGUGGGUUUGUCAUAAGCCCUGUGUGUUUAAUAUCAUAAUGUUCAUAAGUGUUUACUAAUCCAGAUUGACUUCCCGACCUUUUUUCUCAAAAUAUUUAGCAACAUUUCAUGUGAACCGUGAAAAAUGGCCUUUGUACAAUUCUUCACGCAUGUUAGUCAAAAAUAUAACAUUUAUAUCAUUGUGAUCUUCAAUCAAAUUUAAUCUGUUUUUGUUUGACAUCAUUUUAAAGGAAUAGUUCACCCAAAAGCUGAAAAUGUGCUCGUCCUCAGACCAUCGUUUGAAGUUAAAUGCUGGAUUUGUUUCAUCUUUAGUCUUACUGGACUGGAUGGGCUGGAGUGCUGUGGAUUAUUGUGAUGUUUUUAUCAGCUGUUUGGACUCUCAUUCUGACGGCACCCAUUCACUGCUGAGCAUCCACUGCUGAGACACUGAUGCAAUGCUACAUUACAGUAGGGGGCGGGGCUUAUGAGCUCCGGGUGGACGGGGCCAGGGUCUGGAGGGGGCGUGUCUUCCUCACAGUAGGGAGCAGAGUUUAGAAUCAUGCUGUAGUCCAUGCCUGGGACAGACAUGAGCUCCGGGUGGGCGGGGCCAGGGUCUGGAGGGGGUGUGUCUUUCUCACAGUAGGGGGCCGGGCCGUGGACAUAAGGCAUAGGAGUGCAGCUGGUCUGAACAGACUGUUGUCCAUUGGGGCAGGUGACGUACUGCGUGAUUGGCCCGAUUGGCACAAUCUGUAUGAUUGGCGUGAUCAGCACAUCCUCCUGUAUACCAUCAGACUGGAUGCUGCUGGGCGUCACAGCUGGACUCGUGUCCACGCUCACCUGGUACCACGUCUCCGUGCAGUACUGGGGGGACUUAUAGCCUUGAAAACUGGAGAAAUGCUGAUCGAUCUCGUCAAUCUUCCCCUUCUGUUGGGACAAGAAAUAACAGAAGCUGAAGCUUCAAAUUAAGUUCCUCACAUGGUUCCCAAUAAAUCAUUCAACAUUGUUGUGCUAGUUGUCGUGACGUUGCUAUGCAGUCGCUAAGCUAUGUUCAGAUCUGAGCUGUUUGGCUGAUCUGAACACUACUAAUAACUCAAACAAAAAUCUGAUGAAGAAACAAACCCAUCCUAAUCUCGAUGGCCUGAGGGUUACUCAGGGCCUGAGUAUAUUUUCAGGCUAAGGCACAUCAAGCGAGUGCUAAGCCAUCAAUCCGAUAUCCUGAGGAGGCAGCACCUUUGUGUUUGUGAAUAUGGAUUAUGGCUGGAGUUGGUUAAACAUGUCAGCGUCACGUUUGAAAACAGCGAUGUCCUCUCGCCAUGCAAAUCUAGGCUUAUCGGCCCUGCAGCGCAGACAGAUUACCCAAAGCUGCCCUGGCAGGAACUGAUCUCACCUCUUCAGAACAGCACUUUUGUUAGGAUCCAGUUUGCGUAAGCAGCAGCAGGGGAUCUGAUCGCAUGAUCAGUGGCACAAUGAGUCUACUUACCUAAACACUUUCAUAAAACUUAUUUUUACAUGCACAUGUCAUUUAUCAUAUAUAGAUCACUUCUGAACAUUCACAGAUUCACAAAACUGCUUUCAGCUGAAGACAGACUCAAGUCACUGCAGUUCAUCUGAUGCAAAUAGGCUACUGAUCUAACUGUAAUGCAUGAUGUAUCACUUUAUAUAUGUGCAUUAUUUAUUUAUUUAUUUAUUUAUUUAUUAAUAAGUAUGUCGCUUGCUAUUAGUUGAGAAUUUCAUAUUUCAUAUAUAUUCAAAACAAUACACUCUUAUACUUAAUUUUUCAUUUAAGUAGGUUUUUUUUUAUUAUUGGUCUGAUAUUUAUUCAUUCAUUCAUUCAUUCAUUCAUUUAUAAGCAUUGGUCUAGUAUUGGUUAGCAGAUUAUUUCAUUAUUUUUUUAAUUUGAAAACAGUAUUUAUUUAUUUAAUAAAUAUUCUGUAUAGCUUGGUUAGUAGCUUAUAUAUAUAUAUGUAUGUGUGUGUGUGUGUGUGUGUGGUGAAAACAGUGUUCUUUAUUGUAUUAUUGGUCUAUUUAUUUAUUUAUUUGUUUGUUUAAUAUGUAUUCAGUAUGGUGGGAGCAGAUAAUGUUUAUUAUUAUUUUUACUAUUAUUUAUGCAAUUUUAAAACAGUAAAUCAUUCAUAAAUAUUCAAUAUUGGUCUGUUUGGUAGCAGAUAAUUUUGUAUAAUUUAUUUAAUUUAACAAAAGUGUACUUAUUUAUUUAUAUGUAUCCAUAUAUUCUCUUUAUUUGCAAUACUAUAAUGCAUUCAUUCAUUUUUAUUUUUUUGCAUGUAAACUUGAAUGUAAAAAAUACAGUAUGUAACACAAUUUGAUUUUUAUAUUUUCUGUACAGAAUGUGAGUUCUGCCACAGUGUUUCCAGGCCAUUGCCGUGUGGUCACUAAUGUGUUCUGAGCGUUUCUGCAGUUGCUAGGGUGCUCUAGCUAGCUGCUGUUGGGAAACUCUGUCAAAUAUUCAUCUGCUGGGUGCGAUGUUUCCACCUUCCCCCGCGUCUCUUCAUCUCUCUCAUGGAUGGAUUAGGUCAUCGGAAGGGAUUCUGGGAUUCUCUGCUGAUUGUGUCCUGACCAAAGCAGAUCAGUGGCUACUCACAUUUAGCUGGAGCAGAACACAGUGUUCUGAGCGCGCUCACCUCGCUUUCCCUUUCUGCAUAACUGUGACCCGAUGAGACGUUUGACUUCAAGAAAUGUUCUUAAGCUGUAUUUAUUAACAUCCUUUAACUCAUGUCAUCAGAGCAUAUCCAAAGUAACUGUCCAUAAGCACCGU
Cyprinus carpio carpio is the source of this 3065-nucleotide long non-coding RNA. The record is from Ensembl. Lineage: Eukaryota; Metazoa; Chordata; Actinopteri; Cypriniformes; Cyprinidae.